RNAcentral lists this ribosomal RNA (775 nucleotides) under uncultured Alphaproteobacteria bacterium. RNAcentral's name for it is "bacterial SSU rRNA". It matches the Rfam family "Bacterial small subunit ribosomal RNA", at positions 72 to 886 of the family's 1533-position model. The record is from RNAcentral. Lineage: Bacteria; Pseudomonadati; Pseudomonadota; Alphaproteobacteria.
GCCCUAGCUUGCUAGGUGUCCUUAGUGGCGCACGGGUGAGUAACACGUGGGAACAUACCUUAUAGUACGGAAUAACUGCGGGAAACUGUAGCUAAUACCGUAUAUUCCAGUAAUGGGAAAGAUUUAUCGCUAUAAGAUUGGCCCGCGCAAGAUUAGCUUGUUGGUGAGGUAAAAGCUCACCAAGGCUUCGAUCUUUAGCUGGUUUGAGAGGAUGAUCAGCCACACUGGGACUGAGACACGGCCCAGACUCCUACGGGAGGCAGCAGUAGGGAAUAUUGGACAAUGGGGGCAACCCUGAUCCAGCAAUGCAGCGUGAGUGACGAAGGCCUUAGGGUUGUAAAACUCUUUCAUCGGUGAGGAUAAUGACAGUAGCCGAAGAAGAAGGACCGGCUAAUUCCGUGCCAGCAGCCGCGGUAAUACGGAAGGUCCUAGCGUUGUUCGGAAUUACUGGGCGUAAAGCGCAUGUAGGCGGAACAGAAAGUUAGAAGUGAAAUCCCUGGGCUCAACCUAGGAAUUGCUUUUAAAACUUCUGUUCUGGAAUUCAGGAGAGGAAAAUGGAAUUUCCAGUGUAGAGGUGAAAUUCGUAGAUAUUGGAAGGAACACCAGUGGCGAAGGCGAUUUUCUGGACUGAUAUUGACGCUGAGAUGCGAAGGCAUGGGUAGCAAACGGGAUUAGAUACCCCGGUAGUCCAUGCAGUAAACGAUGGGUGCUAGUCGUCGGACUUUUGUUCGGUGUCGUAGCUAACGCGUUAAGCACCCCGCCUGGGGAGUACGGU